Small RNA from Shigella dysenteriae Sd197, 77 nucleotides. It matches the Rfam family "Nucleoid-associated noncoding RNA 4 (CssrE)". Rfam says of the family: In E. coli small RNA transcribed from repeated extragenic palindromic element (REP325) called nucleoid-associated ncRNA 4 (nRNA4) collaborates HU protein in condensing the DNA. The secondary structure but not the sequence of the RNA is important in nucleoid condensation. Also identified in Shigella as CssrE. The record is from Rfam. NCBI's taxonomy places the organism in Bacteria, Pseudomonadati, Pseudomonadota, Gammaproteobacteria, Enterobacterales, Enterobacteriaceae.
GGCCGGAUAAGGCAUUCACGCCACAUCCGGCAAUCGAGCACAAUGCCUGAUGCGACGCUGUCGCGUCUUAUCAGGCC